UGGCGAACGGGUGAGUAACACGUGGGUGAUCUGCCCUGCACUCUGGGAUAAGCCUGGGAAACUGGGUCUAAUACCGGAUAGGACCAUGCUUUAGUGUGUGUGUGGAAAGUUUUUUCGGUGUAGGAUGAGCCCGCGGCCUAUCAGCUUGUUGGUGGGGUAAUGGCCUACCAAGGCGGCGACGGGUAGCCGGACUGAGAGGUUGGUCGGCCACAUUGGGACUGAGAUACGGCCCAG
This 234-nucleotide ribosomal RNA is filed under the name uncultured Actinomycetales bacterium. RNAcentral's name for it is "partial 16S ribosomal RNA". It matches the Rfam family "Bacterial small subunit ribosomal RNA", at positions 96 to 334 of the family's 1533-position model. The record is from RNAcentral. Lineage: Bacteria; Bacillati; Actinomycetota; Actinomycetes; Actinomycetales.